This 452-nucleotide ribosomal RNA is filed under the name uncultured bacterium. RNAcentral describes it as "partial 16S ribosomal RNA". It matches the Rfam family "Bacterial small subunit ribosomal RNA", at positions 28 to 505 of the family's 1533-position model. The record is from RNAcentral.
GAUGAACGCUGACAGAAUGCUUAACACAUGCAAGUCUACUUGAACUUCGGUUUGGGUGGCGGACGGGUGAGUAACGCGUAAAGAACUUGCCUCACAGAUAGGGACAACAUUUGGAAACGAAUGCUAAUACCUGAUAUUAUGAUUUUAGGGCAUCCUAGAAUUAUGAAAGCUAUAUGCACUGUGAGAGAGCUUUGCGUCCCAUUAGCUAGUUGGAGAGGUAACGGCUCACCAAGGCGAUGAUGGGUAGCCGGCCUGAGAGGGUGAUCGGCCACAAGGGGACUGAGACACGGCCCUUACUCCUACGGGAGGCAGCAGUGGGGAAUAUUGGACAAUGGACCAAGAGUCUGAUCCAGCAAUUCUGUGUGCACGAUGAAGUUUUUCGGAAUGUAAAGUGCUUUCAGUUGGGAAGAAAAAAAUGACGGUACCAACAGAAGAAGUGACGGCUAAAUACG